Molecule: transfer RNA, 86 nt
Filed under: Gimesia alba
Lineage: Bacteria; Pseudomonadati; Planctomycetota; Planctomycetia; Planctomycetales; Planctomycetaceae
Description: Planctomycetes bacterium Pan241w tRNA-Ser
Source: RNAcentral
GGAAGUCAUCCGGCUGGAUGAGGGCCCGGUCUUGAAAACCGGUGGUGCUGCAUAGUGCUUGUGGGUUCGAGUCCCACGGCUUCCGC